Molecule: long non-coding RNA, 484 nt
Filed under: Gallus gallus (chicken)
Lineage: Eukaryota; Metazoa; Chordata; Aves; Galliformes; Phasianidae
Source: RNAcentral
GUUGGUGCAUUGUGGGUUUCUUCCUCACAGAUUCCUUUGGGGUUAGAUUUAUUUUCAUUCUUUCUGUGUUUAGAAACUGAGGAGGAAGAGCUGCUGGUCUGACAGGUGUUUGUGAUACUGGUUUCUUGGCUGAAGGAGCUGUUGUCAUUGCUGUGCCGACGGUGCACAGGCUCAUCCAACAGGGGGGAUAAUGGAGGAGGGAAGAGCUUCUCUUCUCUUUUCUUUGCCAUCUUCUUCACCAAGUUACUGCUGCUCUCUUUAGUGCUGGUUAAUCUGUGGUUUGGUAUUGGAGAGAUACAAGGUGGGAGCAAGCACGAAGCUGAAGGGUCCUCCAGGCGCUGCUUCUUGGUUUCAACAAAGGUUUCCAGGUUUUCCGACUUGUGUUUCCUCUUGGAUUUUGCAGAUGUUUUUUCAGCUGCUGGGGUAGGGGACUCUCGAGAUGGUCGUCUGUGUUUCACAUUUGCCUCUCUUGGUUCAGUUUUCA